Long non-coding RNA from Haliotis rufescens (red abalone), 530 nucleotides. RefSeq lists it as uncharacterized. The transcript has 2 exons. The record is from RefSeq and is a predicted model, not a curated record. Lineage: Eukaryota; Metazoa; Mollusca; Gastropoda; Lepetellida; Haliotidae.
AAGGUAGAGUCUGUUGUUCCUGACAACAUGGACAAUGGUAUCAUGUAGGUUUCCUAGUCUACAAAAGGUAAAGUCUGUUGUUCCUGACAAUAGUAUCAUGUAGGUUUCCUAGUCUUCAAAAGGUAAAGUCUGUUGUUCCUGACAACAUGGACAAUAGUAUCAUGUAGGUUUCCUUGUCUACAAAAGGUAAAGUCUGUUGUUCUUGACAGUAGUACCAUGUAGGUUUGUUUAUUUGUUUGGUUGUUUUUUGGGGUACAAAAUAAUGAAGUCCACUGUUUACUACAGAUAUGAAUUAUCUAUUUACCAGCAGUUAUGCAUCUUUUGUACUUUAUUUAACAUAAUAUGUGCCCCAGGUGCUUAGGAAAUUGACAAAGUUGUGUGCUUGUUAAAAUUAUGCACAAGUUAAAUUUGUUUCCUUGAUAGAGCAGUUCAAGUUGUGAAAAAAGUUAAUUUAAAUGUUGAUGAAAUGCUAAAACAUUUUUGAUAAUAGUUUUACUAGGUAAUUAUAUACACCUUCUGUAUUGCUUUUU